Molecule: transfer RNA, 76 nt
Filed under: Deltaproteobacteria bacterium
Lineage: Bacteria; Pseudomonadati; Myxococcota; Myxococcia
Also listed under: 2 other names
Description: tRNA-Ala
Rfam family: tRNA
About the family: Transfer RNA (tRNA) molecules are approximately 80 nucleotides in length. Their secondary structure includes four short double-helical elements and three loops (D, anti-codon, and T loops).
Source: RNAcentral
GGGGGUGUAGCUCAGUUGGGAGAGCACCUGCUUUGCACGCAGGGGGUCAUCGGUUCAAGUCCGUUCACCUCCACCA